This 73-nucleotide transfer RNA is filed under the name Agrilus planipennis (emerald ash borer). It matches the Rfam family "tRNA". Rfam says of the family: Transfer RNA (tRNA) molecules are approximately 80 nucleotides in length. The record is from Rfam by way of RNAcentral. Lineage: Eukaryota; Metazoa; Arthropoda; Insecta; Coleoptera; Buprestidae.
UCUCUCGUAGCUUAGUGGUCAAAGCAUUAGCGCGUAAAGCCAAAGAGCCCGGGUUCGACUCCCGGCGGGUGUG